Prunus dulcis (almond) is the source of this 492-nucleotide long non-coding RNA. RefSeq lists it as uncharacterized. The transcript is spliced from 4 exons. The record is from RefSeq and is a predicted model, not a curated record. Lineage: Eukaryota; Viridiplantae; Streptophyta; Magnoliopsida; Rosales; Rosaceae.
UUCUCGCUCAAACUCUCUUGGCUCUGUCUCUCUCUUUAGCCUAGCUCUCUCUCUCUCCGACAUAGUCAUCUUCCUCCCUCAGCCAUCCAAGCUUAACUCCACAGUUCACAUCCACGAGGUGUUACUGCGAAUGCUUACAAGGUUGCUGAUUCUCCUUCUAAGAGGUGGAUUUCUUUUGUGCCCAAAAGAUUGUGACUUUGUUGAAAGUUCGUAAAUGGAAAAGGCAGCUGCCCCCUGCGGCUUGGAAUGCUCAAUUCGGAGGGUCUGAAGAACAACCAUGUAGUAAGAAAGUUGGAGAAACGUCAACAGAUUUGCACCCUUGACCAACAUAUUGAAGAGUAAUUUGGUGGUGGUCGUCUAUUGGCUUGUAUCUCAUCACGACCUAGAUAGUGGCUGUGCUGAUGGGUAUGUGACUUUAUUUGCCUAUGUCUGUUUCUAGUCAGCCGAUAUGUCAUUGGCAUAUUAGUGUAGUUACCAUAUUGCAAGGGCUGA